UGACCUCGGAUCAGGUAGGGAUACCCGCUGAACUUAAGCAUAUCAAUAAGCGGAGGAAAAGAAACCAACCGGGAUUGCCUCAGUAACGGCGAGUGAAGCGGCAAGAGCUCAAAUUUGAAAGCUGGCUCCUUCGGGGUCCGCAUUGUAAUUUGCAGAGGAUGCUUCGGGUGCGGCCCCUGUCUAAGUACCCUGGAACGGGUCGUCAGAGAGGGUGAGAAUCCCGUCUGGGAUAGGGUGUCCGCGCCCGUGUGAAGCUCCUUCGACGAGUCGAGUUGUUUGGGAAUGCAGCUCUAAAUGGGUGGUAAAUUUCAUCUAAAGCUAAAUACUGGCCGGAGACCGAUAGCGCACAAGUAGAGUGAUCGAAAGAUGAAAAGCACUUUGAAAAGAGAGUUAAAAAGCACGUGAAAUUGUUGAAAGGGAAGCGCUUGCGACCAGACUCGCCCCCGGGGUUCAGCCGGCAUUCGUGCCGGUGUACUUCCCCGGGGGCGGGCCAGCGUCGGUUUGGGCGGCCGGUCAAAGGCCCCUGGAAUGUAGUACCCUCCGGGGUACCUUAUAGCCAGGGGUGCAAUGCGGCCAGCCUGGACCGAGGAACGCGCUUCGGCACGGACGCUGGCAUAAUGGUCGCAAACGACC
Molecule: ribosomal RNA, 633 nt
Filed under: Aspergillus nomiae
Lineage: Eukaryota; Fungi; Ascomycota; Eurotiomycetes; Eurotiales; Aspergillaceae
Description: eukaryotic LSU rRNA
Rfam family: Eukaryotic large subunit ribosomal RNA
Source: RNAcentral